GAACGCGAAGAACCUUACCAAAUCUUGACAUCCUUUGACCGCUCUAGAGAUAGAGUCUUCCCCUUCGGGGGACAAAGUGACAGGUGGUGCAUGGUUGUCGUCAGCUCGUGUCGUGAGAUGUUGGGUUAAGUCCCGCAACGAGCGCAACCCUUAAGCUUAGUUGCCAUCAUUAAGUUGGGCACUCUAAGUUGACUGCCGGUGACAAACCGGAGGAAGGUGGGGAUGACGUCAAAUCAUCAUGCCCCUUAUGAUUUGGGCUACACGCGUGCUACAAUGGACAAUACAAAGGGCAGCUAAACCGCGAGGUCAAGCAAAUCCCAUAAAGUUGUUCUCAGUUCGGAUUGUAGUCUGCAACUCGACUACAUGAAGCUGGAAUCGCUAGUAAUCGUAGAUCAGCAUGCUACGGUGAAUACGUUCCCGGGUCUUGUACACACC
This 435-nucleotide ribosomal RNA is filed under the name uncultured bacterium. RNAcentral describes it as "bacterial SSU rRNA". It matches the Rfam family "Bacterial small subunit ribosomal RNA", at positions 957 to 1391 of the family's 1533-position model. The record is from RNAcentral.